Molecule: ribosomal RNA, 118 nt
Filed under: Paenibacillus silvestris
Lineage: Bacteria; Bacillati; Bacillota; Bacilli; Caryophanales; Paenibacillaceae
Source: RNAcentral
UUUGGUGAUGAUGGCGGAGGGGACCCACGCGUUCCCAUCUCGAACACGACCGNUUAAGCCCUCCAGCGUCGAUGGUACUUGAACCGCAGGGUUCUGGGAGAGUAGAACGUUGCCAAGC